This 2307-nucleotide ribosomal RNA is filed under the name Triticum aestivum (bread wheat). Its description in RNAcentral is "partial small subunit ribosomal RNA". The record is from RNAcentral. Lineage: Eukaryota; Viridiplantae; Streptophyta; Magnoliopsida; Poales; Poaceae.
AUGCAUGGAGCUACAGGAGUACCUGAAGAUAAAAAGAAACACACUUUUACACUCCAGGUCCAAAUUGGAAAACAAGUGGGCCUAGCCUUGGUGGAUAGUGGAAGCACUACCACUUUCAUCUCCCCUGCUCUUGCCUUACAAUCUGGUUGCCCUGUCACACCAGUAAAACAAGUCCAAGUGACAGUAGCUAAUGGGGGCAAAUUAUACAGUGAUUUUUCUCUACACAAAAUCAAGUACAACAUCCAAGGAGUAGAAUUGGUGUAUGAUUUCAGGCUGUUGAAACUCACUAGAUAUGAUAUCAUAUUGGGAGCUGACUGGAUGUAUCAGCACAGCCCUGUCACUUUUGAUCUGCCUAAUAUGAGGUUGGGGAUCAGACAGCCCAAUGGGCAACAAACCAUCUUCCUGGAUGAGAGUUUACCCACUAGUCCUUGCACUCCUAUACUGCAAGACAUGGAAAACAUACUUGAUAACAUGCUCACUGGAGCUUUGAUGUGGAUGCAACCAGUGCAGUUGGAAACCACACAUGACUCUGUCCAAAAACCUGGAAUUACUACCUUAUUGGAAAACUUCAAAGAUGUUUUUGCAGAUCCCACUGGGUUACCUCCACAAAGAGAAUGUGACCAUGCAAUAAACCUUGAACCUGGAGCUCCAGUUAUAAAUCAGAGAGGAUACAGAUUACCACAUCAUCAAAAAAAUGCUUUGGAAGAAAUCAUUAAAGAUCUUCUCCAAAAAGGAAUUAUCAGAUUAAGUCACAGUCCAUAUUCCUCCCCUGCUAUUUUAGUUAAGAAAAAGGACAUGACUUGGAGGUUAUGUAUUGAUUACAGGAAACUAAAUGCACACACAAUCAAAAACAAAUAUCCCAUACCCAUGAUAGAAGACCUCUUGGAUGAAUUGAAUGGAGCAAAAAUCUUCACCAAACUUGAUCUGAGAAGUGGGUAUCAUCAAAUCAGAAUAAAAGAAGGGGACAUAGAGAAAACUGCUUUUAGCACACACAUUGGUCUGUUUGAAUUCUUAAUCAUGCAUUUUGGAGUGACAAAUGGGCCUCCCUCCUUUACAGAACUCAUGCAGACUGUAUUGGGGCCAUUACUGAGACACUGUGUGCUAGUUUUCUUUGAUGAUAUCCUCAUCUUUAGCAAGACCUACAAAGAACACUUGGAACAUGUAGCCCUGGUAUUAGAAGCACUCAGGAAACAUCAGCUCUAUGCUAAGCUCUCUAAGUGCACCUUUGCACAAAACAAAGUGGAGUAUUUGGGUUAUGUGGUGACAGACAAGGGAGUAUCCACAGAUCCUGCAAAAAUAGAAGCCAUAGUAAACUGGCACACACCUCAGAAUGUGACACACCUGAGGAGUUUCUUGGGACUAGCAGGGUACUACAGGAGGUUUAUUCAGAAUUAUGGACUGAUUUGCAAGCCACUGUUUGAUGCAUUGAAAAAGGAAGGAUUUCAAUGGACUGACAGGCAAAUGACUGCUUUCCAACAACUAAAGACCAGGAUGACUUCUGCACCAGUCCUGGCCUUGCCUGAUUUCUCCCUCCCCUUUGUCCUCGAAGCUGAUGCUUCUGGAUAUGGAAUUGGAGCAGUGUUCAUGCAUAAGGGACAGCCCAUUGCUUAUAUGAGCAAAGCUCUAGGCCCUAAAGCUGCUGCUUGGUCCACAUAUGACAAAGAAGCACUGUCCAUCAUUGAAGCACUUAAGAAGUGUAAACAUUACUUUGCUUCAUCCUCUCUAAUCAUCAAAACUGACCAGCAGAGUUUAAAGUACAUACAGGAGCAAAAGGUAACUGAAGGGGUGCAGCACAAACUUCUCAUUAAACUCAUGGGGUACAAAUUCAUAGUGGAGUACAAGAAAGGCAAGAAAAAUAGAGUAGCUGAUGCUCUCUCCAGAGUUAAAUAUGCCAUGAAUGCCCUGGGCUCUAGCUCUGCAAUUCCUUCUUGGAUUUCUGAAGUGGUGAACAGUUACAAAGGAGACACUAAAUGUGCUGAUCUAAUUGCUAAGCUAGCACUAGAUCCUACUGGCCAACCUCCUUAUACUCUCACCAGUGGAGUGCUCAGAUACAAGGGAAAAAUCAUGAUUGGCAACAACAGUGAACUGAAAAAUUCCUUGCUCACUUCUUUUCACAAGUCUGAACUAGGUGGACACUCGGGGGAAAGAGCAACUUAUCAUAGGUUGAAAAUCCUUUUCACUUGGCCUGGCAUGAGGAAGGCAGUGCAAACCUUUGUCCAGCAGUGCCCUGUCUAUCAAUUGAACAAGGCCCAACAUGUGCAUUCCCCUGGCCUGUUGCAACCUCUUCCAGUUCCAGAUUUUGCUUAG